GAAUCUGCUAAGCUCGCAAUUCGCUAUAAGGCGUUUGCACCCACAGAAAAUAUACAACCUUCCAGCAGUCAAUCGAUAUUCGAUCAAAUUCUCUUACCUAGGCAGUGUCAAGAGGUCUAACAUCCCGUAUAUGCAAACGAAGCAACGCGAUCGGUUGGAAAUUAUACGCAAGAAAAUCAAAGCAGAACGAGAGACACUUAAAUCUAAAAUUGAAAAAAUUCAGAAGCUUAUAAAUAAUUUGGAAAAAUUAAAAUCAAACCCCGAAAAGAAGUCAUAAAGACACAGUAAAUCAGGUUAGCUCUGGAAAACAGCUCUGUAGUAUCGAGCAGUUUGGAAUUCUAAUUUUUGAAAUUUUUGGCCCAUGAUGUUUGGAGCCGUCAUCAAAGCCAUAAGGCUUCUGAAAUUCAGAGAUGUCCUGGCCACAAGCGGUCUUCAACGGGGAGUAAGCCGGGACAAAACAGGAGAAGAAAAGCAUCAUUUUAAGAGAAUUGAAAUGGAACAACUGAAGAAAAUUAGGCAGAAUGUAAUUAAGGAUAUGAUGGCACAGAUCGAGGCUCUGAAAUACGAGAUCAAAACCAUUGACAGAGGGUUUUCCGAAGACAAAGAGUCAGUCAAAGAAGAGUUGUUGGAAAAAAUCGAGCAGCUAAAAACUGAAAUCGAGAAAAUAAGAAAGACGAUUGGAAAAAACGAUUGAAAGUAGGCGAUCUUUCUAGUUUCAAUCUGCCUCUGGCAUUCCUUCACAUUCCUUAACAGUAAAAUAAAUUUCAAGUAAUUUCAAAAUUUUCAUAGAUAAAUACAUUUUUGUUUGGAUAAUUCUUUUAAAUUCACCGAAAAUUA
Drosophila persimilis is the source of this 837-nucleotide long non-coding RNA. RefSeq lists it as uncharacterized. The record is from RefSeq and is a predicted model, not a curated record. NCBI's taxonomy places the organism in Eukaryota, Metazoa, Arthropoda, Insecta, Diptera, Drosophilidae. The transcript has 5 exons.